Molecule: long non-coding RNA, 659 nt
Filed under: Vulpes vulpes (red fox)
Lineage: Eukaryota; Metazoa; Chordata; Mammalia; Carnivora; Canidae
Description: lncRNA (ENSVVUG00000005068.1)
Source: RNAcentral
UUGUCAGCAGCACCUAGAAGUGACCGAAUCUUUGCUCUUUUCUAGAGCCACCCGCUGUGGGGCCUCCUUUCCACGCAUAGCUGACUCCCUGCCGGUUCCAGUUUCCCUCACUGAAAGAAGCCCGUGCAUUCCCAGCAACCAAGCAACACCUCUGCAGACCACAGCCUGCGUCCUGCUGCUGCUGCCCUGCACCGGGAGGGCUGCGGCUCUCCUGCUGCACCCAGAGCCUCUGCAGUUCUCCGGAGGAAGGUUCCAGCGCCCGGUGGUGGUGGCGGCGAAGAUGCCCACUGUCGCCGCUGUCCCGCACCCCUUGACCCCCAGGUUUCAAGGUUGGAGCAGCCUCUAUUUUUGCAGCUGUUUUAUCUGAAUUGGUGCUGGGCUUCGCGGCUUUGCCACAAUGUUGAUCAGAGAGGGGCAGUGCUUCCGGCUGGGAUAUUUCACCCAAUAGCAAGGACUUUUUGCUUUUUUCGUCCUGAGAAAUGGGGUGCCAGCGGGGAGCAUGAGCUCCUUUUUUGCUGAUUGUCUGGUGAUUUUCGUACAAGAUGAAAUUUACCUCAGGGGAUGGGUAAGGCCCUUCCAGUUCAGUUUAAAAAUUGUGACCCUGUGCUUUGGUUGGGGACAAAAAUAAAAUUCUUAUUACUAUUCUAAAAGGGUGAUUG